Molecule: signal recognition particle RNA, 99 nt
Filed under: Lacinutrix sp. Bg11-31
Lineage: Bacteria; Pseudomonadati; Bacteroidota; Flavobacteriia; Flavobacteriales; Flavobacteriaceae
Also listed under: 1 other name
Description: signal recognition particle sRNA small type
Rfam family: Bacteroidales small SRP
About the family: The non-coding component of the signal recognition particle in Bacteroides
Source: RNAcentral
CGGCAAGUCCUACACAACUAGCUCCUGUUGAAUCCUCCAGGUCGGGAACGAAGCAAAGGUAAAUGGUCGUAGCAGUGUGAUGUAGGUAGCUUGCCUUUU